RNAcentral lists this ribosomal RNA (497 nucleotides) under uncultured bacterium. Its description in RNAcentral is "partial 16S ribosomal RNA". It matches the Rfam family "Bacterial small subunit ribosomal RNA", at positions 28 to 507 of the family's 1533-position model. The record is from RNAcentral.
GAUGAACGCUGGCGGCGUGCCUAAUACAUGCAAGUCGAGCGAACAGACGAGGAGCUUGCUCCUCUGACGUUAGCGGCGGACGGGUGAGUAACACGUGGAUAACCUACCUAUAAGACUGGGAUAACUUCGGGAAACCGGAGCUAAUACCGGAUAAUAUAUUGAACCGCAUGGUUCAAUAGUGAAAGACGGUUUUGCUAUCACUUAUAGAUGGAUCCGCACCGCAUUAGCUAGUUGGUAAGGUAACGGCUUACCAAGGCAACGAUGCGUAGCCGACCUGAGAGGGUGAUCGGCCACACUGGAACUGAGACACGGUCACGACUCCUACGGGAGGCAGCAGUAGGGAAUCUUCCGCGCUGGGCGAAAGCCUGACGGAGCAACGCCGCGUGAGUGAUGAAGGUCUUCGGAUCGUAAGACUAUGUUAUUCGGGAAGAACAAAUGUGUAAGUAACUAUGCACGUCUUGACGGUACCUAAUCAGAAAGCCACGGCUAACUACGUG